This 497-nucleotide ribosomal RNA is filed under the name uncultured bacterium. RNAcentral describes it as "partial 16S ribosomal RNA". It matches the Rfam family "Bacterial small subunit ribosomal RNA", at positions 28 to 507 of the family's 1533-position model. The record is from RNAcentral.
GAUGAACGCUGGCGGCGUGCCUAAUACAUGCAAGUCGAGCGAACAGACGAGGAGCUUGCUCCUCUGACGUUAGCGGCGGACGUGUGAGUAACACGUGUAUAACCUACCUAUAAGACUGGGAUAACUUCGGGAAACCGGAGCUAAUACCGUAUAAUAUAUUGAACCGCAUGGUUCAAUAGUGAAAUACGGUUUUGCUGUCACUUAUAGAUGGAUCCGCGCCGCAUUAGCUAGUUGGUAAGGUAACGGCUUACCAAGGCGACGAUGCGUAGCCGAACUGAGAGGGGGAUAGGCCACACUGGAACUGAGACACGGUCAAGACUACUACGGGAGGCAGCAGUAGGGAAUCUUACGCAAUGGGCGAAAGCAUGACGGAGCAACGCCGAGUGAGUGAUGAAGGUCUUCGGAUCGUAAAACUCUGUUAUUAGGGAAGAACAAAUGUGUAAGUAACUAUGCACGUCGUGACGGUAACUAAUCAGAAAGCCACGGCUAACUACGUG